This 927-nucleotide ribosomal RNA is filed under the name uncultured bacterium. RNAcentral describes it as "bacterial SSU rRNA". It matches the Rfam family "Bacterial small subunit ribosomal RNA", at positions 482 to 1404 of the family's 1533-position model. The record is from RNAcentral.
CAAAGAAAGCCACGGCUAACUCUGUGCCAGCAGCCGCGGUAAUACAGAGGUGGCAAGCGUUGCUCGGAAUCACUGGGCAUAAAGGGCGUCUAGGCGGAUGAGCACGUUGGUUGUGAAAUCCCUCGGCUUACCCGGGAAGUGCAACCAAAACGGCCUGUCUUGAGGACGAGAGGGGAGAGUGGAACUCCUGGUGGAGCGGUGAAAUGCGUAGAUAUCAGGAGGAACGCCGGUGGCGAAAGCGACUCUCUGGCUCGUUUCUGACGCUGAGGCGCGAAAGCUAGGGGAGCAAACGGGAUUAGAUACCCCGGUAGUCCUAGCCCUAAACUAUGAGCACUAAGUAGUGGUACUUCGAUGGUGUCGCUGCCGUAGCUAAUGUGUUAAGUGCUCCGCCUGGGGAGUAUGGCCGCAAGGCUAAAACUCAAAGGAAUUGACGGGGGCUCACACAAGCGGUGGAGGAUGUUGCUUAAUUCGAAGCAACGCGAAGAACCUUACCUGGGCUUGACAUCACUGUGGUAGGAACCUGAAAGGGGAACGACCCGGGCAACUCGGGAGCAGUACAGGUGUUGCAUGGCUGUCGUCAGCUCGUGCCGUGAGGUGUUGGGUUAAGUCCCUUAACGAGCGAAACCCUUGUCGCUAGUUGCUAGCGGGUAAUGCCGAGGACUCUAGAGAGACCGCCGGUGUCAAACCGGAGGAAGGUGGGGAUGACGUCAAGUCAUCAUGGCCCUUACGUCCAGGGCUGCAAACGUCCCACAAUGGCGCGUACAAAGGGAAGCAAUCCCGCAAGGGGGAGCCAAUCCCACAAAGCGCGUCCCAGUCCGGAUUGUGGGCUGAAAUUCGCCCACAUGAAGUCGGAAUCGCUAGUAAUCGCGGAUCAGCAUGCCGCGGUGAAUACGUUCCUGAGCCUUGUACACACCGCCCGUCAAGCCA